CGUGUAGGCGGCUUGGUAAGUCUGAUGUGAAAUCCUAGGGCUCAACCCUAGAAAUGCAUUGGAUACUGCCGAGCUAGAGUCCGGGAGGGGAUGUCGGAAUUCCUAGUGUAGCGGUGAAAUGCGCAGAUAUUAGGAAGAACACCAAUGGCGAAGGCAGACAUCUGGAACGGUACUGACGCUGAGACGCGAAAGCGUGGGGAGCAAACAGGAUUAGAUACCCUGGUAGUCC
Molecule: ribosomal RNA, 229 nt
Filed under: uncultured bacterium
Lineage: Bacteria
Description: partial 16S ribosomal RNA
Rfam family: Bacterial small subunit ribosomal RNA
Source: RNAcentral